This is a non-coding RNA of Podarcis lilfordi (Lilford's wall lizard), 585 nucleotides long. The record is from the annotation of a GenBank genome assembly. Lineage: Eukaryota; Metazoa; Chordata; Lepidosauria; Squamata; Lacertidae.
GUUCCUGCGGGGUAUAGAAGGAAACAGGAAGGUCCCUGCUGCUUAACCUUUUUGUUGAGAAAGCCCAAGUCAUUUAGAGAGCUUAACAUGGCCUGGGCUCUGUCUUUCCUUGCACUUCUUGGCUAUUUCUCAGGUAAGGAUGUGGAAGAUUCCCUUUCCAUAGGCUUCUGGGCAAAUUAGCACCAACUGCAGUUUGCCUUUAUCAUACUGCUUUUAGGAUGUUUGUGAGAAAAUCCUGUGAAUCAAUAUCUUCUCUUUCUUUCUUUUUCUUUUUGCAAAGGUGUCAUUUCUCAACACACUGUGACUCAACCUACAUCGGAGUCUUUGUCCCCAGGACAAACAGCUAAAUUCUCUUGCACUGCCAGCAGCCGUCCCAGCAGCGGCUAUAUUCACUGGUAUCAACAGAAAGCUGGGCAGGCCCCUCGCUUUGUGCAUGUUAAUGGUGGCAGCAGGGGAGAAGGGAUCCCUGAUCGAUUCACCGCUUCUGUCUCUGGGAAUACUGGCUAUUUAACCAUCACCAACCUCCAGGCUGACGAUGAGGCUGUCUAUUACUGUGGGGCUUGGUUUAACAGCUAUAGCUUGUGG